UAUCAAAUGAUCCUAUUUCAGAAAAACAAGUAUUUUCAAAUUAACGGUGAAAAUCAUUUAAACAAUUUAAUUUUGGAAUUGUGACUUGGCAACAAUAGUGCCAUAAUUUAAUUUAUUAAUUUUGAGUUAAUGUAUGCCUCAUGGACAAUUUUUACGGCCAUGUACAUAGGACCCACUAUGAUGUAUGUAUCGUAUAUCAAUGACAUCCAUCCGUUUUAUCAAAUCAUUUUAAGGCAUGGUCCAAAAAUGAGGUAGAUCCAGAUCUAAGGUGGACCACUAGUGGGUGAGGCCUUGAAAUUGGGGUCCACCUUGAUGUAUUUGUAUAUCUGUGCCGUCAAUCUAUUUUGCCAACUCAUUUUAAAGCAUGAUCCAAAAAAUCAGGCAGAUUUAAAUCUUAGGUGGACCACUAGUGAAUGACGCCCUGAACAUAGGACCCACCUUGAUGCAUUUGUUGUAUAUCCAUGUUGUCCAUCCUUUUUGCCAACUCAUUUUGGGGCAUGGUCCAAAAAAUGAGGCAAAUCCAAAUCUUUGGUGGACCACACAGUAGAGAUUGAAUUCCCACAAUUAAAACUUAUAUUAUUAUUAUUAUUAUUUGUUAAUAUUAUUUUUUAAGUUGUGACUUGUGUUUUCCUUAAUCCAGGUCCAUGCAACCUUAUCAAUAGUUUCGAUGGUAAAUAAACAUUACAGUGGGCCAUAAUAAGUUUUUAAUGGUGGGCAUUCAAUCCUACUGUGUGGUCCACUUGAGAUCCGGAUCUGCUUCAUUUUAGGGACCAUACCUUGAAAUGAUCAAGAAAAACUGAUGGGUGGCAUGGAUAUAUAAUACAACACAUAAAUCAAGGUGGGCCACACCCACUAAAACAGUGCAAGUGCACUAAGCAGCAUGCGCCGCAGACUACUGGAUAAAAUAAGGUGCGUGGCUCCAUUCAUUUUUUUCGAAACUACAAGAGAGGGAGAGAGAAAUGAGAGAGAAAAAGGAAAAAAUGAGAGGGAAAGAAAGGGAAAAAGAGAGAAAAGGAGAAAACGAGAGGGAACAAGAGAGAGGGUGGAGAGAGAGCCACACCAGAGGGGAAA
Magnolia sinica is the source of this 1071-nucleotide long non-coding RNA. RefSeq lists it as uncharacterized. Lineage: Eukaryota; Viridiplantae; Streptophyta; Magnoliopsida; Magnoliales; Magnoliaceae. The transcript has 2 exons. The record is from RefSeq and is a predicted model, not a curated record.